RNAcentral lists this long non-coding RNA (683 nucleotides) under Homo sapiens (human). RNAcentral's name for it is "HSALNT0327090". Lineage: Eukaryota; Metazoa; Chordata; Mammalia; Primates; Hominidae. The record is from RNAcentral.
GUUGCCAGGAAAGUGGGGGAAACCCGGCAACCACAGGCCUCACCCGUCUCCCAUGCAGCCCAAAAGUCCAGUCUCACUCCCACCAUGUCCCCGCAAACAGCACUGAAUUUAUUUCCAGGCAACCAGUGAGCAAGGCUGAGAACUUGUCCCAGGUUACGAGACUCCCAGGGGUGAGACAAAAUGUGCCAUGAGUGAUGGCCUUUGGUGAUCUACAGACAUCCCUGGCUCUAGCAAUCAUUUGUGUAGGGAGGUACAGUCAUGUGCCGCAUAAUGACAUUCAGUCAAUGACAGACUGCAUAUAUGAGGUGGUCCUGUAAGGUGAUAAUGGAGCUGAAAAAUUCCUACUACUGAACGACAUCAUAGCCAUUGUAACAUCAUAGCACAACCAAUCACCUUUUCUAUAUUUAGGUACAACACUGAAGGCACCGCCCAUGAAAGAAACAACUGAUAGGCUGAACUCCAUUAAAAUUAAAAGCUUUUGCUCUGCAAAUACAAGAGAAUGAGAACACAAACCAUAAGGAGUUCAUAUGCUGGAAUGAUAGUGACACAGGAGUUUAACACUCCUACAGUAUCCAGAGCCUGGAUCCCUGAGUCAUCAGAUGGAGAAGAACUACUCAGGAGAGUCAUCCAACCUUCAUAGACAGUGGCAUGAGUGGGAAUUAAACAUUGAUUAUGUUAAGCCA